This 487-nucleotide ribosomal RNA is filed under the name uncultured bacterium. RNAcentral's name for it is "bacterial SSU rRNA". It matches the Rfam family "Bacterial small subunit ribosomal RNA", at positions 28 to 507 of the family's 1533-position model. The record is from RNAcentral.
GACGAACGCUGGCGGCGUGCUUAACACAUGCAAGUCGAACGGAGAUUAUUAAUGAAGCUUGCGAUUUAAUAAUCUUAGCGGCGGACGGGUGAGGAAUGCAUCGGAAUCUACCUCGUUGUGGGGGAUAACCUCGGGAAACCGGGACUAAUACCGCAUACGACCUACGGGUGAAAGUGGGGGACCUUCGGGCCUCACGCGAUGAGAUGAGCCGAUGCCGGAUUAGCUAGUUGGCGGGGUAAAGGCCCACCAAGGCGACGAUCCGUAGCUGGUCUGAGAGGAUGAUCAGCCACACUGGAACUGAGACACGGUCCAGACUCCUACGGGAGGCAGCAGUGGGGAAUAUUGGACAAUGGGCGCAAGCCUGAUCCAGCCAUCCCGCGUGCAGGAAGACGGCCCUAUGGGUUGUAAACUGCUUUUCCACGGGAAGAACCCUCCGACGUGUCGGAGACUGACGGUACCGUGGGAAUAAGCAUCGGCUAACUCCGUG